AAAACUUUAAGUUAAAUAAACUAAUAGCCUUCAAAGUUAUAUAUAUAAGAUCUAUUCUCCUUAUAAGUUUUA
RNAcentral lists this transfer RNA (72 nucleotides) under Chelipoda sp. YD3012. Its description in RNAcentral is "tRNA-Trp". The record is from RNAcentral. Lineage: Eukaryota; Metazoa; Arthropoda; Insecta; Diptera; Empididae.